UCCGUAGGUGAACCUGCGGAGGGAUCAUUACACAAAUAUGAAGGCGGGCUGGAACCUCUCGGGGUUACAGCCUUGCUGAAUUAUUCACCCUUGUCUUUUGCGUACUUCUUGUUUCCUUGGUGGGUUCGCCCACCACUAGGACAAACAUAAACCUUUUGUAAUUGCAAUCAGCGUAGUAACAAGUUAAUAAUUACAACUUUCAACAACGGAUCUCUUGGUUCUGGCAUCGAUGAAGAACGCAGCGAAAUGCGAUAAGUAGUGUGAAUUGCAGAAUUCAGUGAAUCAUCGAAUCUUUGAACGCACAUUGCGCCCUUUGGUAUUCCAAAGGGCAUGCCUGUUCGAGCGUCAUUUGUACCCUCAAGCUUUGCUUGGUGUUGGGCGUCUUGUCUCUAGCUUUGCUGGAGACUCGCCUUAAAGUAAUUGGCAGCCGGCCUACUGGUUUCGGAGCGCAGCACAAGUCGCACUCUCUAUCAGCAAAGGUCUAGCAUCCAUUAAGCCUUUUUUUCAACUUUUGACCUCGGAUCAGGUAGGGAUACCCGCUGAACUUAAGCAUAUCAAUAAGCGGAGGA
This 569-nucleotide ribosomal RNA is filed under the name uncultured Alternaria. RNAcentral's name for it is "eukaryotic LSU rRNA". The stretch from base 195 to 348 matches the Rfam family "5.8S ribosomal RNA". Lineage: Eukaryota; Fungi; Ascomycota; Dothideomycetes; Pleosporales; Pleosporaceae. The record is from RNAcentral.